GUUUAGGGGAAUGUUGUCUGGCUCGAAGCCAUUGGAACGAGAACAGUGUCUUGAUCUAUCCUUAUCGACAUGAGUGGAUUCGGACCAGGCUUCAUUCCCCUCAAC
This 105-nucleotide microRNA precursor is filed under the name Musa acuminata subsp. malaccensis (wild Malaysian banana). RNAcentral's name for it is "mir-166 microRNA precursor family". It matches the Rfam family "mir-166 microRNA precursor family". From Rfam's summary of the family: This family represents the plant microRNA (miRNA) precursor mir-166. Animal miRNAs are transcribed as ~70nt precursors and subsequently processed by the Dicer enzyme to give a ~22nt product. The record is from Rfam by way of RNAcentral. Lineage: Eukaryota; Viridiplantae; Streptophyta; Magnoliopsida; Zingiberales; Musaceae.